UGGGGAAUCUUCCGCAAUGGGCGAAAGCCUGACGGAGCAACGCCGCGUGAGUGAAGACGGCCUUCGGGUUGUAAAGCUCUGUUAUAUGGGACGAACGGGCGUAUGGUCAAUACCCAUACGCCGUGACGGUACCGUAAGAGAAAGCCACGGCUAACUACGUGCCAGCAGCCGCGGUAAUACGUAGGUGGCAAGCGUUGUCCGGAAUCAUUGGGCGUAAAGGGCGCGCAGGCGGUUCGGUAAGUCGGUCUUAAAAGUGCGGGGCUUAACCCCGUGAUGGGAUUGAAACUGCCGGACUGGAGUGUCGGAGAGGAAAGCAGAAUUCCUAGUGUAGCGGUGAAAUGCGUAGAUAUUAGGAGGAAUACCAGUGGCGAAAGCGGCUUUCUGGACGACAACUGAGCGCUGAGGCGCGAAAGCCAGGGGAGCAAACGGGAUUAG
This 435-nucleotide ribosomal RNA is filed under the name uncultured bacterium. RNAcentral's name for it is "partial 16S ribosomal RNA". It matches the Rfam family "Bacterial small subunit ribosomal RNA", at positions 355 to 781 of the family's 1533-position model. The record is from RNAcentral.